RNAcentral lists this ribosomal RNA (2902 nucleotides) under Acinetobacter baumannii UH10707. Its description in RNAcentral is "bacterial LSU rRNA". It matches the Rfam family "Bacterial large subunit ribosomal RNA". Lineage: Bacteria; Pseudomonadati; Pseudomonadota; Gammaproteobacteria; Moraxellales; Moraxellaceae. The record is from RNAcentral.
AGUCAAGUAAUUAAGUGCAUGUGGUGGAUGCCUUGGCAGUCAGAGGCGAUGAAAGACGUGAUAGCCUGCGAAAAGCUCCGGGGAGGCGGCAAAUAUCCUUUGAUCCGGAGAUGUCUGAAUGGGGGAACCCACCUACUUUAAGGUAGGUAUUGCAACAUGAAUACAUAGUGUUGCAAGGCGAACGAGGGGAAGUGAAACAUCUCAGUACCCUUAGGAAAAGAAAUCAAUUGAGAUUCCCUCAGUAGCGGCGAGCGAACGGGGAUCAGCCCAUUAAGUUAUGUGUGUUUUAGUGGAACGCUCUGGGAAGUGCGAACGUAGAGGGUGAUAUUCCCGUACACGAAAGGGCACACAUAAUGAUGACGAGUAGGGCGAGGCACGUGAAACCUUGUCUGAAUAUGGGGGGGCCAUCCUCCAAGGCUAAAUACUCCUGACUGACCGAUAGUGAACCAGUACCGUGAGGGAAAGGCGAAAAGAACCCCUGUGAGGGGAGUGAAAUAGAUCCUGAAACCGCAUGCAUACAAGCAGUGGGAGCACCUUCGUGGUGUGACUGCGUACCUUUUGUAUAAUGGGUCAGCGACUUAUAUUCAGUAGCGAGGUUAACCGUAUAGGGGAGCCGUAGAGAAAUCGAGUCUUAAUAGGGCGUUUAGUUGCUGGGUAUAGACCCGAAACCAGGCGAUCUAUCCAUGAGCAGGUUGAAGGUUGGGUAACACUAACUGGAGGACCGAACCCACUGUCGUUGAAAAGCCAGGGGAUGACUUGUGGAUAGGGGUGAAAGGCUAAUCAAGCCUGGUGAUAGCUGGUUCUCCCCGAAAGCUAUUUAGGUAGCGCCUCGGACGAAUACCAUAGGGGGUAGAGCACUGUUUCGGCUAGGGGGUCAUCCCGACUUACCAAACCGAUGCAAACUCCGAAUACCUAUGAGUACUAUCCGGGAGACAGACUGCGGGUGCUAACGUCCGUAGUCAAGAGGAAAACAAUCCAGACCGCCAGCUAAGGCCCCAAAAUCAUAGUUAAGUGGGAAACGAUGUGGGAAGGCAUAGACAGCUAGGAGGUUGGCUUAGAAGCAGCCACCCUUUAAAGAAAGCGUAAUAGCUCACUAGUCGAGUCGGCCUGCGCGGAAGAUGUAACGGGGCUAAAACUAUGUGCCGAAGCUGCGGAUGUAUACUUUGUAUACGUGGUAGGGGAGCGUUCUGUAAGCCGAUGAAGGUGUGUUGAGAAGCAUGCUGGAGGUAUCAGAAGUGCGAAUGCUGACGUGAGUAACGACAAAACGGGUGAAAAACCCGUUCGCCGAAAGACCAAGGGUUCCAGUCCAACGUUAAUCGGGGCUGGGUGAGUCGACCCCUAAGGCGAGGCCGAAAGGCGUAGUCGAUGGGAAAAUGGUUAAUAUUCCAUUACUUCUGUGUAAUGCGAUGAGAGGACGGAGAAGGCUAAAUCAGCCUGGCGUUGGUUGUCCAGGUGAAAGGAUGUAGGCAUGUAUCUUAGGCAAAUCCGGGGUACUCUAUGCUGAGAUCUGAUAGCAAGCUGUACUUGUACAGCGAAGUGGUUGAUGCCAUGCUUCCAGGAAAAGUCUCUAAGCUUCAGUUACACAGGAAUCGUACCCGAAACCGACACAGGUGGUCAGGUCGAGUAGACCAAGGCGCUUGAGAGAACUCUGCUGAAGGAACUAGGCAAAAUGGUACCGUAACUUCGGGAGAAGGUACGCUGUUGUUGGUGAUGGAACUCGCUUCCUGAGCUGACGACAGCCGCAGAAACCAGGCCGCUGCAACUGUUUAUUAAAAACAUAGCACUCUGCAAACACGAAAGUGGACGUAUAGGGUGUGAUGCCUGCCCGGUGCUGGAAGGUUAAUUGAUGGGGUUAGCGUAAGCGAAGCUCUUGAUCGAAGCCCCAGUAAACGGCGGCCGUAACUAUAACGGUCCUAAGGUAGCGAAAUUCCUUGUCGGGUAAGUUCCGACCUGCACGAAUGGCAUAAUGAUGGCGGCGCUGUCUCCAGCAGAGGCUCAGUGAAAUCGAAAUCGCUGUGAAGAUGCAGUGUACCCGCGGCUAGACGGAAAGACCCCGUGAACCUUUACUGCAGCUUGACACUGAACUUUGACCUUACUUGUGUAGGAUAGGUGGGAGGCUUUGAAGCUGGAACGCUAGUUCCAGUGGAGCCGUCCUUGAAAUACCACCCUGGUAAUGUUGAGGUUCUAACUCUGUCCCGUGAUCCGGGACGAGGACCGUGUCUGGUGGGUAGUUUGACUGGGGCGGUCUCCUCCUAAAGAGUAACGGAGGAGUACGAAGGUGCGCUCAGCGUGGUCGGAAAUCACGCGUAGAGUAUAAAGGCAAAAGCGCGCUUAACUGCGAGACCCACAAGUCGAGCAGGUACGAAAGUAGGUCUUAGUGAUCCGGUGGUUCUGUAUGGAAGGGCCAUCGCUCAACGGAUAAAAGGUACUCUGGGGAUAACAGGCUGAUACCGCCCAAGAGUUCAUAUCGACGGCGGUGUUUGGCACCUCGAUGUCGGCUCAUCUCAUCCUGGGGCUGAAGCAGGUCCCAAGGGUAUGGCUGUUCGCCAUUUAAAGAGGUACGCGAGCUGGGUUUAGAACGUCGUGAGACAGUUCGGUCCCUAUCUACCGUGGGCGCUGGAAAUUUGAGAGGAUCUGCUCCUAGUACGAGAGGACCAGAGUGGACGAACCUCUGGUGUACCGGUUGUGACGCCAGUCGCAUCGCCGGGUAGCUAUGUUCGGAAGGGAUAACCGCUGAAAGCAUCUAAGCGGGAAGCCUACCUCAAGAUAAGAUUUCCCUAGGACUUUAUGUCCUCUAAAGAGCCGUUCGAGACUAGGACGUUGAUAGGUUGGAUGUGGAAGCAUAGUGAUAUGUGAAGCUGACCAAUACUAAUUGCUCGUGAGGCUUGACUAUACAACACCC